GUAGAAAAUAGGUAACAUCGUGAAAUAUGAACUUAUGAACAUUGAUUUUAGGGGUUCAGAUCAGUAAUCAGUUGUAUCCUUAUUAUGUUACCAAUUGAGAUUUAAGCAAUAUGUAUAAGUUCAUGUUAUCUAACUCAGAUGCUCACUGCAAUUUAAGAGCUUAGUUCACUUCUAUUCUUGUUGUGUUGCAAAACUGGACCAUUCAAUAGUUUUAUCAAGUUUCUCUGAAGCCCUGGUCUUCUCCUUAUUUCAUUGUCAGCCUUCAGUCUCUUUCUGUUAUCAUAUGGUUGGGAAAUUGUGGUCAAGAUUUUGUUAAAGCAGCAUUGCUACCAAAAACAACUCAGAUUAACUGCAGUUUCAUCACUUCUUAAUGAUGAAUCUAAUCUCUGGAAUCUUAAAUACAAUUGAUAUUAGCAUCUACUCUGUUUUGUGUAUUGUCAUUAUUUGGAAAAUGGUUAUUAGAAUAGCAGUAGCUCUUUGAUUGAGUUUUUACCUAUUU
This 499-nucleotide unclassified non-coding RNA is filed under the name Hevea brasiliensis (rubber tree). The record is from RNAcentral. Lineage: Eukaryota; Viridiplantae; Streptophyta; Magnoliopsida; Malpighiales; Euphorbiaceae.